GACUCAAAGAAAGCAAAACUAAACUCUAAAACACUAAAACAAACCUAAAGACUCAAAACAGCCCAGAAACACUUAAAACUGCCUUAAAACCACAAUCUGGGCAGUUUUGAACAAUAAACACAACUUGGACGAAAAUUGGUUUUAACUUGACUUAAGACACUUGAAAACACAAACUAAAGUGAUUUCUAACUACUAUGACUCAACAAAAUAAAGGGGGAUUGAUUUUGGACGAAUUUAAAAACAAACAAAACUUUGUAAACUAGAGUAGAUUUUAAAACAAAUUUGUUGAAAGAGAAUGGAUGGAAGGCUAGCUAAGGGGUUCUUCUCCACACAUGUCACACUUGCAUACAAAACGAUUUCCAAUUGCUUCUCAAUAAACCAUGAAUUCUCAACGCCCCAAGUUAAUUAGGUCCGCUUAAAUUAACCCUCAGAUUUUCCAUAAGUUAUUGAAUUGGAUGAAUUGCAUACAACAACCCAAAGCAUUCCCCACAAGUUCCCUACAUGAAAGCGCAUAAUAGAGAUUCAAGCAAGGAUCAUUAAGUUCUAUGAAAAUCAUAAGCAUUGACGAGGCACUCGUAACUAUGAAAGCGCAUGAAACUUAUGCCAAGAAUUCACUUAACGCAAUUGUGAUCAA
This 634-nucleotide long non-coding RNA is filed under the name Malus domestica (apple). RNAcentral describes it as "long non-coding RNA (MDOM_LNC018845)". Lineage: Eukaryota; Viridiplantae; Streptophyta; Magnoliopsida; Rosales; Rosaceae. The record is from RNAcentral.